UACCGACCAUCACACCCUGUAGUCAUAAAAAUAAGAUUGUUAUCCAUCCAUUCAUUUUUUUUCAGGAUACAUUUGAUGUUCGGUCCAAUUUAUUAUUUACGAUUACGUACCUGAUGACGUGGUCUACCAACAAUACUAGGAAAGACAGCUCGUGGUGCAUCGUCUCCUGCGAAUCCCGCUUUGCACAUACCUGAACCAUUGUCCACGACGAGCGCCGCAACAUCAUCGUCGCACAUCUUGAAGGAUUGUUAUUAGCGUUUCUUUCUGCGAAUGAAUUAAUGAAAUUAAUCGCUUUCUCUUUUCUUUUAAAUCCUCUUAUAACAAUCACUUUGAUAGAAUACGGAAGUUCGAUAGGUAGUUAUUCAUUGCAUUUCAUAGAGAAGAAAAACUGUUUAUGUCGAUUCUAGAUACUAGGAAACGUUAACGAAUCAUUGAAAUAUCAUUUUACUAGUCACUAGUUGUAAUUAAAUUUCCAUGUAGCAUGCAUCAUGGUAUCCUUAUAUUUCGUCACGUAGCACCAUGCAAGAUUUACCAACUACACUUCACACAAAUUUCAACACGGCGAAAAUGUACGUAAAAUUAUGCCAUUGGUUAGUACGAAUCGAUUGCCCGAUACACUUGAUCGCGAUCACGAGAAUCACAAAGUUGACGAUCUAUGCAUAAGUUCGAAAGAAAAAGUAGUAGAAAGCAUAGAAUAAAAAGGAGAUGUGGAAAAAAGAAUUAGAGGAGCUGAUGAAGAAGAAGAAAAAGCGUUGUCUAAAGCAAGGUAAAACGCAGGCGCAAGGUUUGCAUUUUCCUUUGAAUGAUUUACCGUUCAGAGUUGGAUGGCUCAAUAGAUCGGCGACGAUCUCUUAGGGACGAACGUUGUACAAGAGACCGAAAGCGGCGAGUGGCGCAUCGUCUGCUCUGUGGGGUACCUUUAUCCAUAUCGGUUCGAAGCCGAAAAUAGCGAUCCGCCCCUUAGAUGGAAAUCUGCUGUACGUUAACGCGUGCAUCGGUUCGCCGCCGCCGCCGUCACCGCCGCCGCCACUACCACCACCGCCGUCGCCGCCGCCGUCGCCGCCUAAUCCUUAGUCGCCCUAAGAGCGACGUCGAGAGGGAGACGCGGGUUGUUACGACGCCGACGACGCGCUUUUCCCAACGGAUCCCGAAUCCAAAUAAGGACUCGUUACAACGCAGGGCCGUCCUCCCCGGGUGCUUUUCACCUAAAUGAAGGUACCAAUAGAUGAUGGUACGCGUCCAGUUUACGCUUUCCUCCCUUUUUUAACUACCGUAUUAUUGCUUUUUUCUUUUUCUUUUCUUUUUCCUUUUUUCUUGUCGUUCUUUCGCUGUUCUUUCUUUGUUCGUUUCCUUGCUUUUAAAAGUACUUCUUCUUCUGUAAAAGAAAAGAGAAAAAUGUAAAGAACAACAUUUAAAGUAGGUUACGUUGUGAGAUUCAGUCAAAGUCAUGUGUCUUCGUCAAAAUAAAAUAUCAUUUAUCUUUUACGUAAUCAUAUAUUCCUCUCAUACUUAUUAAACGAUUUUAUACAAGAAUGAAUCUUGAGUAAUUUAUAUUUACAUAAAAAAUCAUGUCGUAUUAGUUAUUGUAUAAUGGCCUAACGCAGAUGAUAAAGAUGAUGUAAAUGUAAGAUAAGACAGGUAGUUCAUAAAACGUAUUUGAAAUAGAAAUACUCGAGAGAAUAUUGAUUGUAUUUGGAAACACAAUAAUCUUCUAAAUAAUAAAAAUAACCAUUUUUUAUUUAGUAUUAUUAAAAUGUACGGGGCGACGAGAAUUACUCGAUCCAUCAUCGAGCUCUCUCCCCACUUUACCAUUUUGUAGUAGCAUCGAUGUUGGCUGUCGAUUUGUCGGACAGAUUCGGCGAGUUUGCAUUACUGAGUUUCAAUCUCGAAACGGCGCGUCUUUGUUAGUUGCUAAUGUUCUUUUAAUGGUGCUUCCUUUGCAUACGUUACGGUAACUAACUUAAAGAAAAUUAUUAUGAAAAAAUGGGUGCAAAUUAAUCAUCAUUCCGCCGUAUGCGAACAAGUAUACGAGGAUAAAUAUCUUCUGAGAUUAAAAUUAAAUCAUUAACGACGUUCUCUUUCGUUAGCACUUUUGUGUCGGUAAUAAAGCUUACAUAUGAAACAAUUGUUCCUUGAUAAUUCGAUUACGAUAGAUAAAAUAUUCGUGAGAGAGUUAGAAUAUAACGUUAGAAUGUAAAUUCUGUACAUAUACGUAUCUUCUGCGUAUCUUAUUUCACUAUGCAAAGUUCGAAAAAUGUAAAAUGACAUCAAUGUAAUUUCGCUUUACACUUUAGACAAAUUAUAAAUCUUGUAUAAUUUACCCAAUUCCAAAUCAAACGAUCUUCUUCAAAAUUAUAUUUGCAGAUCGGAUGAUAAAAGUUAGCCAAUGCAUCCGAAUGUUACCUUCUUCGUCAAAUAUGCAUACAACGACUAAAAUGUUACCUGGAUUUUCAUUUCCACUGGGCAUUGGCUGAUGGAUCAUUGUUAACCACAUCGGUGAAAGAUUUGGUGCAUCAUUAAGGACUUGGAAUCAUCGCUAGCCAGGAUUGACCCAGUUGCCUAUAAAACGAUAGGCGAGCAGCUUCAGCAUCGCAAAGUUAUUUCUGUGCGGCGGAUAGCUAAGUUUAGAUGGACGACCAACGGACGCUCCCUAAUAAGUUCAAGCAAUGUUUAUAGUAUCCGACGUCGCCCCGGCUCGGCCGUUAAAUGAAAAAACAUAGCUCAUAUGCUUGUGCGUGCCAAAAUUACGCUAUGCUUUGAAAAGCAUCGCAGAAGCGUAUGCGGACAAAGACCUCAAAUAAGUUUAAAAUUAUGCCUUGCUUUCAUAUUAAUUAAUUGCAAUCCUGGAAUGACUUUUAUAUCGAGAGAUGGACAAUCUAGUCGAAGUUGACGGUUGGAUGGUGAUUGGUGAAAUUCAUAAAUAUCAUGAGAAGCUACUGGAAAUCGAUGUGAGUGACUGUUCGUAAAAAUAGAUUCCUCGUACCUAAUUUGGAUGGAUGGGAGAGCCAAGUUUUGAUAAAAGCUACCUCGUGCGGCGAGACAGCUUUUUUUGGACAUUGCCUCGCAAUUACUCAGAUAUGCUUUUACUCGAGAGCAAAACUAUAGACUCUAGCGAAGAAAUGAUUAACAAUCAUGAUGAAUAUAUAUCUAUGUCAAAUAUAUUAUUGCAUGCUUUAAUUCAGUUUAAUUUUGCAAUCAGUUUCUAAUUCGAGACCACAAUUGGACGAUAGUAAAGAACGUGAUUAUAUAGGAAAAAUUUAAUUCUAAUAAACCAAAAAUAGAUAUUACGUAAUGUGCGCGCACCUCAAGAAUAAUACAACAUUUAACUGAAUACGUAGAGACAAAAUGUUCGUUAAGGAGGUUCUUAAUUGCUUCAUCGAAUAAUAAAACACCAUUGAAACAUACGUUAAAAUCCUAUAAAUGUCUAAAGGAUUAUAACAUCGGAUAUAUAGGAAAGGAUAUAACAUCGUGUUUUAGUAUUAAAUCAUAUUUAUAAUGUCGUGU
Long non-coding RNA from Vespa velutina, 3504 nucleotides. RefSeq lists it as uncharacterized. The transcript is spliced from 3 exons. The record is from RefSeq and is a predicted model, not a curated record. Lineage: Eukaryota; Metazoa; Arthropoda; Insecta; Hymenoptera; Vespidae.